GGGGCAGCCCUGGACUAAAAAGUAAAACAUUGCUGUUUUUCAUUUGAUAUACUUUUUUCCAUCCCAAUAGCCUAAAAGUAAUUAGAUUGUUAAGUAAAAAUACAUUUUGUAAAUUGUGUGUGUCCUUCAAUCUAUUUUUUUAGAUUGAUACAAUAUAAAAGUAUAACAUAACAAUAAAAUUCAAAUUAUACAUUCGAUCAAAUGACUUUUAUCGAUCAAGCACGAUUCGCGCAAACAUGAAAACUCGAGAGAAACUUCUGGAAGAAGACACCAAGGAAGACACCACUUGAGUGGAUGGUUGUGUUUGGCAGAACAAGAGGACACUUUGUCAGGGAAGCUGCUGCUUGGUUUGCAUAUUUCCUGGUGCCUAGUAGUUUGGGUUGCUCGAGUUCCUGGCUGGUAGUUUUGGUUGUGUCCAAUCUUCGCUAACACUUGAUAUGCCAGGUGAUGGACUGGAGCUGGAUGGAAUGGCCGUCUUCAUCAGGGACACGGACACCAGGGUUCUCAUUAAGGGCACAGAGGUCCUCAAUAACUUCCCUCAACAGCAACUGCUGUGUCAAUGUUAUUUGGACUGGCAUAUGUGCUAAACCUUCAGUAUCCAAAAGAAUUGAAAUUCACUUUUGAAUUUUUCCAGAAAGUCUUAAUGGAACUUGACCCCAGAAAGAUGACCCCCAAAGUAUGUCGCCUCUGUACUCUGCUGCACAGUCAAUGACAGCCUCUAUUGAAUAUGUUAGCUUUGUAGAACACAUACACGGGAUAAUCCACAAUAUCUUUUGUAAUAGAAAUUCAGUAGUUGUUUGUUCACUGGAUGUGGUGCUAUUGCAAUUGAUGCUGUGGCUUUAAUCUUUUAUAUAUGUAUAUUUGUUAAUCCACAAUCAGUAUUACCGUGAGGGAAGCAGACCACUUGUUUUUAGAUCUUUGACAUUCUUAUUUUGCAGAACACACACAGGAUGGGAGAAGUUCAGUCUCCACUAUAUCUUUUGUAAUAGAAAUUCAGUAGUUGUUUGUUCACUGGAUGUGGUGCCAUUGCAAUUGAUGCUGUGGCUUUAAUCUUUUGUAUAUAUGUAUAUA
Molecule: long non-coding RNA, 1071 nt
Organism: Alosa alosa (allis shad)
Lineage: Eukaryota; Metazoa; Chordata; Actinopteri; Clupeiformes; Clupeidae
Exons: 3
Source: RefSeq, a predicted model, not a curated record